This 561-nucleotide ribosomal RNA is filed under the name Salinispora sp. RNAcentral's name for it is "bacterial SSU rRNA". It matches the Rfam family "Bacterial small subunit ribosomal RNA", at positions 261 to 834 of the family's 1533-position model. Lineage: Bacteria; Bacillati; Actinomycetota; Actinomycetes; Micromonosporales; Micromonosporaceae. The record is from RNAcentral.
UGGCCUACCAAGGCGGCGACGGGUAGCCGGCCUGAGAGGGCGACCGGCCACACUGGGACUGAGACACGGCCCAGACUCCUACGGGAGGCAGCAGUGGGGAAUCUUGCACAAUGGGCGGAAGCCUGAUGCAGCGACGCCGCGUGAGGGAUGACGGCCUUCGGGUUGUAAACCUCUUUCAGCAGGGACGAAGCGUUUGUGACGGUACCUGCAGAAGAAGCGCCGGCCAACUACGUGCCAGCAGCCGCGGUAAGACGUAGGGCGCAAGCGUUGUCCGGAUUUAUUGGGCGUAAAGAGCUCGUAGGCGGCUUGUCGCGUCGACUGUGAAAACCCGUGGCUCAACUGCGGGCUUGCAGUCGAUACGGGCAGGCUAGAGUUCGGUAGGGGAGACUGGAAUUCCUGGUGUAGCGGUGAAAUGCGCAGAUAUCAGGAGGAACACCGGUGGCGAAGGCGGGUCUCUGGGCCGAUACUGACGCUGAGGAGCGAAAGCGUGGGGAGCGAACAGGAUUAGAUACCCUGGUAGUCCACGCUGUAAACGUUGGGCGCUAGGUGUGGGGGGCCUCU